AACGAACGCUGGCGGCAUGCCUAACACAUGCAAGUCGAACGAGACCUUCGGGUCUAGUGGCGCACGGGUGCGUAACGCGUGGGAACCUGCCCUUAGGUUCGGAAUAACUCCCCGAAAGGGGUGCUAAUACCGGUUAAUGUCUUCGGACCAAAGAGUUAUCGCCUUUGGAUGGGCCCGCGUUGGAUUAGCUAGUUGGUAGGGUAAAAGCCUGCCAAGGCGACGAUCCAUAGCUGGUCUGAGAGGAUGAUCAGCCACACUGGGACUGAGACACGGCCCAGACUCCGACGGGGGGCAGCAGUGGGGAAUAUUGGACGAUGGGCGAAAGCCUGAUCCAGCAAUGCCGCGUGAGUGAUGAAGGCCUUAGGGUUGUAAAGCUCUUUUACCCGGGAUGAUAAUGACAGUACCGGGAGAAUAAGCUCCGGCUAACUCCGUG
Molecule: ribosomal RNA, 433 nt
Filed under: uncultured bacterium
Lineage: Bacteria
Description: partial 16S ribosomal RNA
Rfam family: Bacterial small subunit ribosomal RNA
Source: RNAcentral